AGCAGCCGCGGUAAUUCCAGCUCCAAUAGCGUAUAUUAAAGUUGUUGCAGUUAAAAAGCUCGUAGUUGAAUUUCGGGAUCAAUACGUCGGUCGUGCUUCGGUACGUACUGGCGUAAUUGAUUUCUCCCUUCUGACGAACCAUGAUGUCAUUAACUUGGUGUCAUGGGAAAUCAGGACUGUUACUUUGAAAAAAUUAGAGUGUUUAAAGCAGGCUCACGCUUGAAUACAUUAGCAUGGAAUAAUGAAAUAGGACGUUCGAUCCUAUUUUGUUGGUUUUUAGGAUCAACGUAAUGAUUAAUAGGGAUAGUUGGGGGCAUUAGUAUUCAAUUGUCAGAGGUGAAAUUCUUGGAUUUAUUGAAGACUAACUACUGCGAAAGCAUUUGCCAAGGAUGUUUUCAUUAAUCAAGAACGAAAGUUAGGGGAUCGAAGACGAUCAGAUACCGUCGUAGUCUUAACCAUAAACUAUGCCGACUAGGGAUCGGAUGAUGUUAAUUUUUUAAUGUACUCAUUCGGCGCCUUA
This 520-nucleotide unclassified non-coding RNA is filed under the name uncultured Glomus. RNAcentral's name for it is "SSU rRNA". It matches the Rfam family "Eukaryotic small subunit ribosomal RNA", at positions 569 to 1090 of the family's 1831-position model. Lineage: Eukaryota; Fungi; Glomeromycota; Glomeromycetes; Glomerales; Glomeraceae. The record is from RNAcentral.